AGGCGACGAUCCGUAGCUGGUCUGAGAGGAUGAUCAGCCACAUCGGGACUGAGACACGGCCCGAACUCCUACGGGAGGCAGCAGUGGGGAAUAUUGGACAAUGGGCGAAAGCCUGAUCCAGCCAUGCCGCGUGUGUGAAGAAGGCCUUUUGGUUGUAAAGCACUUUAAGCAGGGAGGAGAGGCUAAUGGUUAAUACCCAUUAGAUUAGACGUUACCUGCAGAAUAAGCACCGGCUAACUCUGUGCCAGCAGCCGCGGUAAUACAGAGGGUGCGAGCGUUAAUCGGAUUUACUGGGCGUAAAGCGUGCGUAGGUGGUGGUUUAAGUCUGCUGUGAAAGCCCUGGGCUCAACCUGGGAAUUGCAGUGGAUACUGGAUCACUAGAGUGUG
This 387-nucleotide ribosomal RNA is filed under the name Heterosigma akashiwo. RNAcentral's name for it is "partial Bacterial small subunit ribosomal RNA". It matches the Rfam family "Bacterial small subunit ribosomal RNA", at positions 271 to 650 of the family's 1533-position model. The record is from RNAcentral. Lineage: Eukaryota; Raphidophyceae; Chattonellales; Chattonellaceae.